Cyanistes caeruleus (blue tit) is the source of this 625-nucleotide long non-coding RNA. RefSeq lists it as uncharacterized. The record is from RefSeq and is a predicted model, not a curated record. NCBI's taxonomy places the organism in Eukaryota, Metazoa, Chordata, Aves, Passeriformes, Paridae.
GUCAUCGGGUAAUAUUCUUGUGAUUAGUUUUGGCUGUGCUGAUGAAACGAUGUUAAAAGAAUGUCAGAACAACCUGUCCUGGGACUCCUACAGGCAGUUUCAAGCUAAGGAAGCCGCGGCAAAACAGGUCUGAACAAACACACUCCAGUGAAAUCUCUGUUUCCCAGGCUUUGCUAAGGCCAUUCUAUGUGUGGAGGGAGAUGCAAUCCUAAGGGCACCCUUUGCCUAUCUGUGCAUUGUCAUUCAUGUUUGUGGAAAUGGCACCUGAGCUAAGAGAAGUGCUGCCAGAGCCUUUUGCAUCCCAUUUCCCUCAUCCCAAGGAAAAGAGUAUGGCCCUGAGGCCACACCCACAUUCGGGUGAUCUCUGCACAAGGAACCAGGAGUUGCUUGGGAGCCACAGGGCCUCCUUUUGCCUGGGACAGGUGACAUUUUUGAGCCGUAUCAGGGGAUGGAAAGUCUACAUGAAUGAGCUUGAAGAGGUGGAACUUGUCCUGUGGAGAGAUAUCCCAUAGAUUUAGAUGCCACUGAAUUCCAUUGCAGCUCAUGGGUCAGCCUUCAUUCAGACAGCAAGAGAAGCAAGCUGGAAUUCAUUGCCCAGCAAACAGACUUUAUAAAUACAGAAAUC